Mesoplodon densirostris (Blainville's beaked whale) is the source of this 72-nucleotide non-coding RNA. NCBI's taxonomy places the organism in Eukaryota, Metazoa, Chordata, Mammalia, Artiodactyla, Ziphiidae. The record is from the annotation of a RefSeq genome assembly.
UCCCUGGUGGCCCAGUGGUUAGGACUCAGUGCUUAUACUGCCGUGGCCCAGGUUCAAUCCCUGGUUGGGGAA